CAGGAGCCUCAAGUUUCUUGCUAAACUUAAGAGGCAAGCGAGAAUCAAUAUCAAUGAGCAUCUGUCCCUCUGACAGCUCGAUUGUAUCAAUAUGGCCUAGUCUUUCACCUAUCUUCCUCAGGUUUUUAAGUAUCCAAUAAUGAAGAGGAAUACCAGACAGCUGAACCCAGAAAGGGAUGAUCCAGGGGUAAUCAUCGUAUACUAUGGGCUCCCAUCGAACCAGCACAAACAUACAGUAAUUGUAGUGGAAUGGUCCCUUACUCAAAACCGAUUUUAAAUCCUCUUCGGAGGUGAAGUUGAACAGGAAUCUGCCAUUGCCUACGUCAUUUGCUGUGAUGAGAUCCUGCAUACCCCAUUGUGUGGGCAUCGUUUGAAUCAGCUUCUCAACAUUUUGUUUCUUGGGAUUAAGUAUUUUGCCGAUGAGAGACAUAAGGAAUUUUUUAAUGACAUGAUCAUCUUCCUCUGCGGUUAACUGAAUUGGCUCGUCAUCAUCAUACUGAAUUCCUUUUCCUUUUAAAUCAGCCAUAUGGGCCGAUCCAUGCUGAGACAAUUGCCUCAUUACCAGAGAUUGGUUAUUCACUCUGUUUCUAGUAUGGAGAACAGAGCAAAAGCGAGAGAUCGUGUCAACAACGGUCGACAAUCAUCAGAGAAAACGUUAAGUAACCACCAAACACAGAUCGUGUCAACGUUUGAGGCCAUCUUGAUUGGGGAGUAAUUGAGUUUCCAAUGAAAAUCUCAAUACCGCAGAUCGGCUUCGAUGUCGUGAGAGAUACACCAGAGAAGAACGAAAGAGAUAAUGAUCACCGGAGCACCAGCAAUGAGGAUGUCGUAUAGCCAGGUAAUCCACACGCCAAUGAACGUGUCGAUCAGAAAAAGAUCAAACCUUCAACGAAAGAUUUUGAUAUGUAGAAUCGUCAUUUGAGUCACCAUGGAAGCCCUAGCCGCUCAAUAUCAAUGCAUUUCCAAUUAUAAUUUUGUUUUCUUUUUAUUGUUGAUAAAUUUUUAUAGUAUACCAUUAAAAAUUCCCUUGAGUUCAAAUAUAAAUUUUUAUCAUUAUAUAUGGUUAAAUGAAUAUAGGAGCGUCUGAACCUUAGACACAUUCAGCCUAUAUUCUUUGUUCAUUUCAAAAUUUAAAUUUAAGUAUAUGCACUAUAUUUUAAGAGCAUAUAUAUUAAUCUUUAGUUGUCUAACUCUCAUUAGCUGGGUGUUUAAACGCUGAUGCUUGUAUAAACCUGUUUUCUGGCAGAUUAUAUAAAAUCGCAACAGUCAUAUGAUAGGAGGCUUCUUAACAAUUAUGUGUGUGCCAGCCAAAAAAAACUCAUGCGUGUCUACCGACGUUCGAGCUUGUCAAAGUGAGAAGACAUUUAUUUAGUCAUUGUAUUUUGUGAUAGGUAGAGCAUAUGAAUUUAUAAAAUAUCUUGCAGUUAUUCGGAAGAGCUAGCAGAAUGGAUUUAAUCAACACUUCCUUUCCUCCUUUUGAGAGCCAUCUACCUGUCCAGCCAUUCACUCUAUGCAUCAACUUAUCCUUUAGAAAUGCAAAAGGUUUACAAUUGGAGCCACUUAUGUCUUCCGGGAUACCUAGGUAAGUUCCCAUUCCUCCUUCGUUUUGUAUUCCCAGUGCAUCUUUGAUCUCUUGUCUAAUAGUUGCAUUAAUUCUCUUACCAAAGAGUAAGGAUGAUUUGUCAAAGUUGAUACAUUGGCCAGAUGCUUUACCAUACUUCCUGACUACUUUCAUUACUUCUUCACAUUCACGGGGAUCCGCCUUACAGAAGAAAAGGCUAUCAUCAGCAAAUAGAAGGUGGGAUACCGAAGGACACGCGCGUGUGACGCGCAUCCUCGUUAUCUUCCCUUGGCUCUCUACAUGAUUGAGAAGGCUAGCGAGCGCUUACGUGCAUAGAAUAAAAAUGAAAGGAGACAAAGGAUCUCAUUGGCGUAGGCCUCUACCAGGAACAAUAUUUCCUCUUGGCUGUCCAUUCAUGAGUACCUUAUAUUUCACCGACGUAAUGCAUCGCAUUGUCCAGGUGAUCCAUGUUUCCGAAAAACCCAUCUUACGCAAGACAGCUUCAAUAAAUGACCAUUCCAUCCUGUCAUAUGCUUUGCUCAUGUCUGUCUUAAUGGCCAUCCUUUUAUUGCUUCAACUUGGUUUAAUUCUCAGAGCUUGGAACAUUUCUUGAGCAAUCAUAAUAUUGUCUGAAAUCUGUCUUCCAGCAACAAAAGCUGACUGGGUCUCCGAUAUCAAGCGUGGUAGCACUUUCUUCAAUAUUUGGCAUAAGACCUUAGAGAUUAUCUUGCAGCUUAAGUUACACAAGCUAAUGGGUAUAAAUUGAGUCAUUUCAUUAGGCUUUGUUGUCUUUGGGAUGAGACAUAUAUUCGUAUUAUUCAGUCCAUUCGCCACCGUUCCCUCAAAAAGGAAUUUACUAACCAUAAGAGUUAAAUCCUCCUUUACAAUAUCCCAAAAUUUCUGAUAGAAAAGUGCAGGCCUUUUCUGGAUGCAUAGCAAAAAGCGCUAAUUUGACCUCCCAUUCAGUGACUGGAGCUGUAAGGUUGUCAUUCAUUGCCCAAUUGAUCGUCGUAAGGACUUGAGCCAGUGCCUCUUCAAUGUCCUCUGGGUUAGAUGAUUCAAAGAUCUGCCUAAAAUUGCUAGUAGCAAUGACUACUAAUCCAUCUUCAUCCUCAACUAUAUUUCCAUUUGCACCAGGAGCUGCGUGAUUUUAUUCCUUGCUCUUCUUUGCUUUGUUAAGGCAUGAAAUUUUUUUGUAUUUCUGUCUCCUUCUCUCAGCCAAAACACUCUACUCUGCUGUUUCCAGAACAUUUCUUUUGCUUUAAGAGCAUCAGAGAGAUCCUUCAACGCUGCUGCAAUUUUCUCAGUUGUAGCAUUAUCCUCUGCGUACAGACCCUCCACUUUUUCUUUAAGCUCCUCCACUAAUUUCGCCGAGUUAACAUUAUGUUGUUUCCUCCAUUCGCUCAAAGAUUUUCAGCAGCUAGAAAUAUGUUCCAUAAUAGUUGCAUUGGGAUGGAGAUCAAUAGAUUUCCAUCCCCCAAGAAUGACUUGCCGUAGCUCCUAAUUAUCCAGGCAUCUUUUAUCAAACUUGAACUUUUUUUAUCGCCUCACUGGCUUUAUGCAAGAAUCGGACGAUAAUCUGAUCCCCAUAACCUCAUAUACUUCACAGUCGAGUGGGGAAACUUCUCAUGCCAAUCCGCAUUUCCUACUGCUCUGUCUAAGCGACAUCGAACAGUUGUUCUUCCUGCUCUCUUUCCUACCCAUGAGAGCAUGUUUCACGUGAAAGGAAACUCUAGCAUCCCACAAUCAUUAAGCAUCUGCUUAAAGGGCAGGAAUGAACUAUCAGGACGUUGUCUCCCCCCUUCUUUCUCAUUGUGACACGUAAUUUCAUUAAAAUCUCUUAUCAGGAACCAAGGUCCAGUUCUUGUUGUUGAGAAACGCGUAAGACGUUCCCAAACUUGAUCUCGUCUUUCUAGUACAGGAUCCCCAUAAACAAACGUCAUAUAGACUUUUAUUCCAUCAAUGACUGCCUCAAUGUCAAUCAUACGGUUAUUUGAAAAUAAAACAUUAACUUGAAAUUCAUCCAUAAAAAAUAAAGUUAAACCUCCGCUGAGUCCAAGUAGCUCAACAGUAAAAAAAUGAUCAAAUUAUAAGUCGGCCUGAAUGUUUUGCAACAACAGCCUUCUGUUCUUCGUCUCAGAAAGGAACACAAGUCCUGGGUGAUGCUUCUGACACAUCUCCGUAAGGCGUCGAACUGUGAGGUCGUUACCUAUCCCUCGACAGUUCCAACUGAUUGUCUUCAUGGAUGAUGUUUCGAUGGGUAUUUAGGACCCAUCAAACCAACACCUUUUGACGAACCAUCUCCCUUAGUUGAAAUUUCUCUCGAUUUCCUUGAUGACUCAUGAUGACUAGGCCAGCUAUGUCUGUUACUGCGAGCAGACGGAGAACCUCGACAGAGGAACCAAAUUUUCUUGCUUUGAAUGCUUAAAGGGACACACAUUUUGGUAUCAUUCUUCUUACUCUUAGACCUUCCGUAAGAAGUGUCACCAGGAUGACGUGAUGAUUCAAAAAUGUUAGAGGAAACAUGCCCAGCUUCUAUCUCCAUAAAUCAAUGCCCAACAAAUCAUCAUUCUGAACCUCACCUUCCAUCAUCUCAUCAUCAUGUUUAUCAGCUAUCUACAUAUCAGACAAAGCUCCAAUGACAAGUGCAUCCUCAUUUAAAUAUGACGUUUUGGGUGAUAGUGAAAGUGAUUGAGCUAUCUCUUUAGCUCGAAAGGUAACGUUCGCAGUCAACGCCACCGUGCGCGACGGAGUAACGAUCGUUCUAGCUAGCCUCUUUUCUUGUCGCUCUACAACCAGGUCAUCAUUUCCUUUUGAUUCCUGGUGUCCACCAAUCUCGCGAGGACCUUCUGUUGAUAACUUCCCACUCUGAGUAAUGCCACUGCUGUUUAAAGCAUUGGUCAGAUUAUCAUUCUCCAUCUUCCUUGGCUUUUCAGUCCUCUGCCUUUUGCGCCAAGUAAGCUCUUGCUUGCGGACGUAAGGUCUUGUUCGAUACUUAGAGUUACUGUAUUGAUUGUUACCUGGUCUCCUAUCUCGUGUUCGGAUAACUCUAUCAGAGUGAUAAUUGGCCUUUUCGCCAGCUAGAGAAUGAUAGGCCCCAUCUCCAGAUCGUGAGUGAUAAGUCUCAAUUUCUUUGUGAUACUUCUUUGCACCAUCCCGCGAGUUGUAUCUCUUGUGGUUAUCAUCAUAACGAGAUCUCAUCGCAUAUGACGAUUGAGAAUGAGAUACAAAGUUCGUUUGACCCCUCAGCAGUGGCUGGGUGUUUGUCUGCUCUUGAGGUAGCUGUACCCGAUCAAAAAUACCAGCUCUUUCAGUAUGGUGUCGAGUAGUAGGAUCAUUAGCCGUCGAAGGACAGUAACCUUUUUUCGUGAGUAAGAUAUCCACAUGUCGUACAGUGCUUAAAAAGCAUGUCAUACUUGAUCUGAAUUGUUACAUCACCUUCAGGAGCCUCAAGUUUCUUGCUAAACUUAAGAGGCAAGCGAGAAUCAAUAUCAAUGAGCAUCUGUCCCUCUGACAGCUCGAUUGUAUCAAUAUGGCCUAGUCUUUCACCUAUCUUCCUCAGGUUUUUAAGUAUCCAAUAAUGAAGAGGAAUACCAGACAGCUGAACCCAGAAAGGGAUGAUCCAGGGGUAAUCAUCGUAUACUAUGGGCUCCCAUCGAACCAGCACAAACAUACAGUAAUUGUAGUGGAAUGGUCCCUUAC
Molecule: long non-coding RNA, 5263 nt
Filed under: Brassica napus (rape)
Lineage: Eukaryota; Viridiplantae; Streptophyta; Magnoliopsida; Brassicales; Brassicaceae
Description: long non-coding RNA (BNAP_LNC024853)
Source: RNAcentral